GGAGAAAUACUCAAGUGGUCGAAGAGGUGCCCCCUGCUAAGGGUAUAGGUCGUUCACGCGGCGCGAGGGUUCAAAUCCCUCUUUCUCCG
RNAcentral lists this transfer RNA (89 nucleotides) under Lachnospiraceae bacterium TWA4. It matches the Rfam family "tRNA". Rfam says of the family: Transfer RNA (tRNA) molecules are approximately 80 nucleotides in length. Their secondary structure includes four short double-helical elements and three loops (D, anti-codon, and T loops). Lineage: Bacteria; Bacillati; Bacillota; Clostridia; Lachnospirales; Lachnospiraceae. The record is from Rfam by way of RNAcentral.